UAAUAGGCAAUGAACAAGAAUAGUAAUCAUAAAAAGGUCUAAAGCGAGCUAGGAAUGGUGGAAGCCUAGUGAUACUAUUAUGAUGAAUGGACUUGUGAGUUUAUAUCUGAAAUAAGUAAGAUAUAGGAUUUAUCCACCUUAUAGGAUUAAAGUUGGCUUUUAGCAAGAAGAGUGGUACCGCGGAAAUUACCCUUUCGUCUCUUUA
RNAcentral lists this non-coding RNA (205 nucleotides) under Tissierella praeacuta. RNAcentral's name for it is "T-box sequence". It matches the Rfam family "T-box leader". From Rfam's summary of the family: Uncharged tRNA acts as the effector for transcription antitermination of genes in the T-box leader family. The record is from RNAcentral. Lineage: Bacteria; Bacillati; Bacillota; Tissierellia; Tissierellales; Tissierellaceae.